AAUUCAGAAUUUUCGAAGUGAUUUUACUUGGGACGUUUCACUUGCAGGUGACAGGCUAUACAACACAUGAGUAUAAAGAAGAAGUGAAAACAGGAGUGGCUUCGAAAGAGUUUCCUUGUGAAAAAGCAGACAUUUCAUAAUUUUUUUUAUAUGGAGCGUCUCUUGUUCUUCACUCGCGCAAGGUGACGCGUCACUUCGUAUUCACACGGUUGUGCGCUGCGACAUUUUUUAAGUAAAUAAAGCCAGGUUUUAUAACUUAUCUUAGCAAAUUCUGGUUCCGUUAUCCGAAAGUGGCCUAAUAAAAGGUUUUGUGCCAACAAAAAUCUAGCAAAGCAUCUUACACACAUUUCGAAAAGGCCAUACGACAAAUGAUUAUAAGGAACACGAGAAAAAGCGAACAUCCUGUACAAUUUUCUAUAUGGAGAGUCACUUGCUCUUCAAUCGUGCUCUGAUACGUCACUCCGGAUUUACAAGAUGAUUCACAAGUAAUACUUUUUUCGGAACUUAAUUGUAGGUAUGGAUGAAGCUAAGAAUCUACAUGCCAAGUUCCAACUUUCUAUAUUUAAUAGUUUCCAAGACUUUAGCGUUCAUACGGACGGACAAAGGGACAUGGUAGACAUGAUAGAUCGACUCGGCUAGUGAUCCUAGAUCAAGAGUAUAUACUUUAUGGGGUCGGAAAAACGUCUUUAUGGCAAAAUCAUCCACUUAAUUUUUGUAUAAAUUGUACUCUUAAUUUUUUUUUAUAAAAUCGGAAUUUUAUAAUGCCAUUGUUCAGCUUUAUGUCUAAUACUGUGUUCUAUAAGUUUGGAAGCAUUGAUGUUUUAGUCUAGCAAUGUUUCCAAAUUUAAAACGAAAUAAGAAGUAAAAUACAACUGAUUAAUUCAGAAAUCAAAGCACUAUAAUGCAUUUGAAUACUUAGGAUGGCCAAAACAAAUAUUUGAAAAGCAGAUACAUCUUUAAUGUUAUGUGUGUCGAAAGCUGUUGAUGUAUAUAAACUAACCAAACCCUUGCAGAGCGUAUAAUGAUUACAGUCAGAAGUUUACAACGCAGAGAAGGAGACGUUUCCGACCCCAUAAAGUAUAUAUAUUCUUGAUCAGCGUCACUAGACGAGUCGAUCUAGCCAUGUCCGUCUGUCCGUCCGUUUCUACGCAAACUAGUCUCUCAGUUUUAAAGCUAUCGGGCUGAAACUUUCCCAAAAGUCCUCUUUCUAUUGCAGGUAGUACAUAAGUCGGAACCAGCCGGAUCGGACAACUAUGUCUUAUACCUCCCAUAGGAACUUCGGGAAAAAAAUUUAAAAAAAGUAAAUCUGUGGUGUUUUUUAACAUAUAACCUUCUAAGCUUGGAAAUGGCAUUUUUUAAUUAGUUCUGAAAUUCGAAUUAAAUUUGAUCAAAAUCGGACGACUAUAUCAUAUAGCUGCCAUAGAAACAAUCGGAAAAUGAGUCGGAAAAUAUGUAAAAAUUAUAUCUUUGGUGUUUUUUAACAUAUAACAUUCUAAGCUUGGAAAUAACAUUUUUUAAUUAGUUCUGAAUUACGAAUUAAAUUUUAUCAAAAUCGGACGACUAUAUCAUAUAGCUGUCAUAGGAUCAAUCGAAAAAUUUGUGGGAAAAAAUUAUUUAAAAAAAUUUUAGCUUUGGGGCUUUUUGACAUAUCUUAUAAUAUUGGGAAUAUAAUUUGUUAUAUUUUUAAGAAUUUAGAAUUCAAUUUAAUACAAAUCUGACUACUUUAACAACAUACAAAAAUUCUGCAUUUGAAAUUUUUUUUUAAUAUCACUGAAGUCAGCAACAAUCCUUAAAAAUUUCAAAUGGUGUUACUAAAGUUGAUUAUUUCUUAUAACUGCAAGGGUAUACAAACUUUGGCUUGCCGAAGUUAACUUCCUUUCUUGUUUGAUCUAGAUCAAAAAUUAAGGACGUUAGCUGUCCGGUCAUGGACCCCGUUCAACAAAAAAGGGCCUACGAAGAAAUGCUGCGCAGCCGUCAUUUUGUUUUAGAUAUA
Long non-coding RNA from Drosophila biarmipes, 1993 nucleotides. RefSeq lists it as uncharacterized. Lineage: Eukaryota; Metazoa; Arthropoda; Insecta; Diptera; Drosophilidae. The record is from RefSeq and is a predicted model, not a curated record. The transcript has 3 exons.